RNAcentral lists this ribosomal RNA (785 nucleotides) under Stenotrophomonas acidaminiphila. RNAcentral's name for it is "bacterial SSU rRNA". It matches the Rfam family "Bacterial small subunit ribosomal RNA", at positions 1 to 768 of the family's 1533-position model. Lineage: Bacteria; Pseudomonadati; Pseudomonadota; Gammaproteobacteria; Lysobacterales; Lysobacteraceae. The record is from RNAcentral.
UCAAGAGGGUUUGAUUAUGGUNCCUNUUGAACGCUGGCGGUAGGCCUAACACAUGCAAGUCGAACCNNAGCACAGUAAGAGCUUGCUCUUACGGGUGGCGAGUGGCGGACGGGUGAGGAAUGCAUCGGAAUCUACUCUGUCGUGGGGGAUAACGUAGGGAAACUUACGCUAAUACCGCAUACGACCUACGGGUGAAAGCAGGGGAUCUUCGGACCUUGCGCGAUUGAAUGAGCCGAUGCCCGAUUAGCUAGUUGGCGGGGUAAGAGCCCACCAAGGCGACGAUCGGUAGCUGGUCUGAGAGGAUGAUCAGCCACACUGGAACUGAGACACGGUCCAGACUCCUACGGGAGGCAGCAGUGGGGAAUAUUGGACAAUGGGCGCAAGCCUGAUCCAGCCAUACCGCGUGGGUGAAGAAGGCCUUCGGGUUGUAAAGCCCUUUUGUUGGGAAAGAAAAGCAUUCGGUUAAUACCCGAUUGUUCUGACGGUACCCAAAGAAUAAGCACCGGCUAACUUCGUGCCAGCAGCCGCGGUAAUACGAAGGGUGCAAGCGUUACUCGGAAUUACUGGGCGUAAAGCGUGCGUACGUGGUUGUUUAAGUCUGUCGNGAAAGCCCUGGGCUCAACCUGGGAAUUGCGAUGGAAACUGGGCGACUAGAGUGUGGCAGAGGGUACUGGAAUUCCUGGUGUAGCAGUGAAAAUGCCNUANAGAUCANGAAGAACAUCCNUGGCGAAGGCGACUGNCCUGGGCCCAACACUGAACACUGAAGGCACCGAAAGCGUGGGGGA